RNAcentral lists this ribosomal RNA (468 nucleotides) under uncultured bacterium. RNAcentral's name for it is "partial 16S ribosomal RNA". It matches the Rfam family "Bacterial small subunit ribosomal RNA", at positions 28 to 507 of the family's 1533-position model. The record is from RNAcentral.
GACGAACGCUGGCGGCGUGCUUAACACAUGCAAGUCGAACGGAAAGGCCUAGCUUGCGUGGUACGCGCGAGUGGCGAACGGGUGAGUAACACGUGAGUAACCUGCCCGUGAUUGUGGUAUAACUUCGGGAAACUGGGUCUAAUACCGGAUAGGAGCUUCUGCUCCAGGGGGGUGGUUGGAAAGUUUCGGCGGUUGGGGAUGGACCCGCGGCUUAUCAGCUUGUUGGUGGGGUAGUGGCUUACCAAGGCUUUGACGGGUAGCCGGCCUGAGAGGGUGACCGGCCACAUUGGGACUGAGAUACGGCCCAGACUCCUACGGGAGGCAGCAGUGGGGAAUAUUGCACAAUGGGCGGAAGCCUGAUGCAGCGACGCCGCGUGCGGGAUGACGGCCUUCGGGUUGUAAACCGCUUUCGCCUGUGACGAAGCGUGAGUGACGGUAAUGGGUAAAGAAGCACCGGCUAACUACGUG